RNAcentral lists this ribosomal RNA (207 nucleotides) under uncultured bacterium. RNAcentral describes it as "partial 16S ribosomal RNA". It matches the Rfam family "Bacterial small subunit ribosomal RNA", at positions 1295 to 1500 of the family's 1533-position model. The record is from RNAcentral.
GGAUUGCAGGCUGCAACUCGCCUGUAUGAAGUCGGAAUUGCUAGUAAUCGUGGAUCAGCAUGCCACGGUGAAUACGUUCCCGGGCCUUGUACACACCGCCCGUCACACCAUGAGAGCCGGGAACACCCGAAGUCCGUAGUCUAACCUAUAUGGAGGACGCGGCCGAAGGUGGGUUUGGUAAUUGGGGUGAAGUCGUAACAAGGUACC